RNAcentral lists this unclassified non-coding RNA (400 nucleotides) under soil metagenome. RNAcentral's name for it is "partial contains 5.8S ribosomal RNA, internal transcribed spacer 2, and large subunit ribosomal RNA". The stretch from base 1 to 120 matches the Rfam family "5.8S ribosomal RNA", at positions 35 to 154 of the family's 154-position model. The record is from RNAcentral.
GAUGAAGAACGCAGCGAAAUGCGAUACUUGGUGUGAAUUGCAGAAUCCCGUGAACCAUCGAGUCUUUGAACGCAAGUUGCGCCCGAAGCCUUGGCUAAGGGCACGUCUGCCUGGGCGUCACGCAUCGCGUCUCCCCCAAACCGCCAAGGCGGAGGGGAAGGAAGAUGGCUUCCCGUGCCUCACCCGGGCGCGGUUGGCCUAAAUUUGGAGCCCGCGGCACUUAGCUCUCGCGGCGAUAGGUGGUGAACAAGGCCUUGGCCGUGCAAACAACCCGCUGCGAAGCUCUAUGUCACGUGCGCUCGUCGGACCCUUUGAAGUUGCCUUUGGUGACUUAAAACCUUUGCGACCCCAGGUCAGGCGGGGCUACCCGCUGAAUUUAAGCAUAUCAAUAAGCGGAGGA